RNAcentral lists this ribosomal RNA (2903 nucleotides) under Escherichia coli DEC9D. RNAcentral describes it as "23S ribosomal RNA". Lineage: Bacteria; Pseudomonadati; Pseudomonadota; Gammaproteobacteria; Enterobacterales; Enterobacteriaceae. The record is from RNAcentral.
AAGGUUAAGCCUCACGGUUCAUUAGUACCGGUUAGCUCAACGCAUCGCUGCGCUUACACAUCCGGCCUAUCAACGUCGUCGUCUUCAACGUUCCUUCAGGACUCUCAAGGAGUCAGGGAGAACUCAUCUCGGGGCAAGUUUCGUGCUUAGAUGCUUUCAGCACUUAUCUCUUCCGCAUUUAGCUACCGGGCAGUGCCAUUGGCAUGACAACCCGAACACCAGUGAUGCGUCCACUCCGGUCCUCUCGUACUAGGAGCAGCCCCCCUCAGUUCUCCAGCGCCCACGGCAGAUAGGGACCGAACUGUCUCACGACGUUCUAAACCCAGCUCGCGUACCACUUUAAAUGGCGAACAGCCAUACCCUUGGGACCUACUUCAGCCCCAGGAUGUGAUGAGCCGACAUCGAGGUGCCAAACACCGCCGUCGAUAUGAACUCUUGGGCGGUAUCAGCCUGUUAUCCCCGGAGUACCUUUUAUCCGUUGAGCGAUGGCCCUUCCAUUCAGAACCACCGGAUCACUAUGACCUGCUUUCGCACCUGCUCGCGCCGUCACGCUCGCAGUCAAGCUGGCUUAUGCCAUUGCACUAACCUCCUGAUGUCCGACCAGGAUUAGCCAACCUUCGUGCUCCUCCGUUACUCUUUAGGAGGAGACCGCCCCAGUCAAACUACCCACCAGACACUGUCCGCAACCCGGAUUACGGGUCAACGUUAGAACAUCAAACAUUAAAGGGUGGUAUUUCAAGGUCGGCUCCAUGCAGACUGGCGUCCACACUUCCAAGCCUCCCACCUAUCCUACACAUCAAGGCUCAAUGUUCAGUGUCAAGCUAUAGUAAAGGUUCACGGGGUCUUUCCGUCUUGCCGCGGGUACACUGCAUCUUCACAGCGAGUUCAAUUUCACUGAGUCUCGGGUGGAGACAGCCUGGCCAUCAUUACGCCAUUCGUGCAGGUCGGAACUUACCCGACAAGGAAUUUCGCUACCUUAGGACCGUUAUAGUUACGGCCGCCGUUUACCGGGGCUUCGAUCAAGAGCUUCGCUUGCGCUGACCCCAUCAAUUAACCUUCCGGCACCGGGCAGGCGUCACACCGUAUACGUCCACUUUCGUGUUUGCACAGUGCUGUGUUUUUAAUAAACAGUUGCAGCCAGCUGGUAUCUUCGACUGAUUUCAGCUCCAUCCGCGAGGGACUUCACCUACAUAUCAGCGUGCCUUCUCCCGAAGUUACGGCACCAUUUUGCCUAGUUCCUUCACCCGAGUUCUCUCAAGCGCCUUGGUAUUCUCUACCUGACCACCUGUGUCGGUUUGGGGUACGAUUUGAUGUUACCUGAUGCUUAGAGGCUUUUCCUGGAAGCAGGGCAUUUGUUGCUUCAGCACCGUAGUGCCUCGUCAUCACGCCUCAGCCUUGAUUUUCCGGAUUUGCCUGGAAAACCAGCCUACACGCUUAAACCGGGACAACCGUCGCCCGGCCAACAUAGCCUUCUCCGUCCCCCCUUCGCAGUAACACCAAGUACAGGAAUAUUAACCUGUUUCCCAUCGACUACGCCUUUCGGCCUCGCCUUAGGGGUCGACUCACCCUGCCCCGAUUAACGUUGGACAGGAACCCUUGGUCUUCCAGCGAGCGGGCUUUUCACCCGCUUUAUCGUUACUUAUGUCAGCAUUCGCACUUCUGAUACCUCCAGCAUGCCUCACAGCACACCUUCACAGGCUUACAGAACGCUCCCCUACCCAACAACGCAUAAGCGUCGCUGCCGCAGCUUCGGUGCAUGGUUUAGCCCCGUUACAUCUUCCGCGCAGGCCGACUCGACCAGUGAGCUAUUACGCUUUCUUUAAAUGAUGGCUGCUUCUAAGCCAACAUCCUGGCUGUCUGGGCCUUCCCACAUCGUUUCCCACUUAACCAUGACUUUGGGACCUUAGCUGGCGGUCUGGGUUGUUUCCCUCUUCACGACGGACGUUAGCACCCGCCGUGUGUCUCCCGUGAUAACAUUCUCCGGUAUUCGCAGUUUGCAUCGGGUUGGUAAGUCGGGAUGACCCCCUUGCCGAAACAGUGCUCUACCCCCGGAGAUGAAUUCACGAGGCGCUACCUAAAUAGCUUUCGGGGAGAACCAGCUAUCUCCCGGUUUGAUUGGCCUUUCACCCCCAGCCACAAGUCAUCCGCUAAUUUUUCAACAUUAGUCGGUUCGGUCCUCCAGUUAGUGUUACCCAACCUUCAACCUGCCCAUGGCUAGAUCACCGGGUUUCGGGUCUAUACCCUGCAACUUAACGCCCAGUUAAGACUCGGUUUCCCUUCGGCUCCCCUAUUCGGUUAACCUUGCUACAGAAUAUAAGUCGCUGACCCAUUAUACAAAAGGUACGCAGUCACACAGAUUGAGCGAGCUCCCACUGCUUGUACGUACACGGUUUCAGGUUCUUUUUCACUCCCCUCGCCGGGGUUCUUUUCGCCUUUCCCUCACGGUACUGGUUCACUAUCGGUCAGUCAGGAGUAUUUAGCCUUGGAGGAUGGUCCCCCCAUAUUCAGACAGGAUACCACGUGUCCCGCCCUACUCAUCGAGCUCACAGCAUGUGCAUUUUUGUGUACGGGGCUGUCACCCUGUAUCGCGCGCCUUUCCAGACGCUUCCACUAACACACAUACUGAUUCAGGCUCUGGGCUGCUCCCCGUUCGCUCGCCGCUACUGGGGGAAUCUCGGUUGAUUUCUUUUCCUCGGGGUACUUAGAUGUUUCAGUUCCCCCGGUUAGCCUCAUUAACCUAUGGAUUCAGUUAAUGAUAGUGUGUCGAAACACACUGGGUUUCCCCAUUCGGAAAUCGCCGGUUAUAACGGUUCAUAUCACCUUACCGACGCUUAUCGCAGAUUAGCACGUCCUUCAUCGCCUCUGACUGCCAGGGCAUCCACCGUGUACGCUUAGUCGCUUAA